RNAcentral lists this ribosomal RNA (475 nucleotides) under Streptococcus mitis. RNAcentral's name for it is "bacterial SSU rRNA". It matches the Rfam family "Bacterial small subunit ribosomal RNA", at positions 28 to 487 of the family's 1533-position model. The record is from RNAcentral. Lineage: Bacteria; Bacillati; Bacillota; Bacilli; Lactobacillales; Streptococcaceae.
GACGAACGCUGGCGGCGUGCCUAAUACAUGCAAGUAGAACGCUGAAGGAGGAGCUUGCUUCUCUGGAUGAGUUGCGAACGGGUGAGUAACGCGUAGGUAACCUGCCUGGUAGCGGGGGAUAACUAUUGGAAACGAUAGCUAAUACCGCAUAACAGUAGAUGUUGCAUGACAUUUGCUUAAAAGGUGCAAUUGCAUCACUACCAGAUGGACCUGCGUUGUAUUAGCUAGUUGGUGGGGUAACGGCUCACCAAGGCGACGAUACAUAGCCGACCUGAGAGGGUGAUCGGCCACACUGGGACUGAGACACGGCCCAGACUCCUACGGGAGGCAGCAGUAGGGAAUCUUCGGCAAUGGACGAAAGUCUGACCGAGCAACGCCGCGUGAGUGAAGAAGGUUUUCGGAUCGUAAAGCUCUGUUGUAAGAGAAGAACGAGUGUGAGAGUGGAAAGUUCACACUGUGACGGUAUCUUACCAGA